RNAcentral lists this ribosomal RNA (252 nucleotides) under uncultured bacterium. Its description in RNAcentral is "partial 16S ribosomal RNA". It matches the Rfam family "Bacterial small subunit ribosomal RNA", at positions 524 to 776 of the family's 1533-position model. The record is from RNAcentral.
UACGUAGGUGGCGAGCGUUGUCCGGAUUUACUGGGCGUAAAGGGAGCGCAGGUGGUUUAUUAAGUCUGGUGUAAAAGGCAGUGGCUCAACCAUUGUAUGCAUUGGAAACUGGUAGACUUGAGUGCAGGAGAGGAGAGUGGAAUUCCAUGUGUAGCGGUGAAAUGCGUAGAUAUAUGGAGGAACACCGGUGGCGAAAGCGGCUCUCUGGCCUGUAACUGACAUUGAGGCUCGAAAGCGUGGGGAGCAAACAGG